Long non-coding RNA from Polyodon spathula (Mississippi paddlefish), 1655 nucleotides. RefSeq lists it as uncharacterized. NCBI's taxonomy places the organism in Eukaryota, Metazoa, Chordata, Actinopteri, Acipenseriformes, Polyodontidae. The transcript has 6 exons. The record is from RefSeq and is a predicted model, not a curated record.
UAGAGGCGUUCGGUCUCCAUUUGAUUUUUGCUGUAGCUGGGGUAGGAGUGUGCUUGGUUCGCAGAAGUAGCAUCCUUUGUAAUCUUCUUAUUAACAAGUUUCGUAAACUAAUAGCAACGUUUAAUAUAGUUUGGUACGUGCGUUUGCCAGAGCAUAAUCAAGUAAUUGUUGAUUUCAUCGAUAAGGUUAUACUUACUGAUGGAAUGCAUUAAGUAACUAUGAGGGGAACUUUGGGAAUAUUAUCUUUUUGCAUUUUAUUUAUAUCUAUUUUUGCUUUUUGUAUGACUGAGCGUAUAUUAAAUAUACUUUAUUAAAAGUACAAUGUAAAUAUUUGCACUCGUUUGUUAGACUAGUAGUAUGGGCCCUGGUGCUGGCACACGUGGCAGGUUACAAUGCUCUGAUACGAAGUCAUUUACUUUGUCGUUGUUGCUUCCUAUGUUCUUAAGGCAAUGUGGUUAGAUUAGUGCCAUUGUAAUUGUAUUUUAAACGCAAUAUCUGUAAGCACGUGGCAUACUUAUCCAUGUUGCUGGUGUCAGUGAUGACUGAACUGUUUCGCCUGACAGAUAGUCAACAUUUGUGGGUUCGGUACUGUCUUUAGCCAAACUUUGACAGAUGCGCCAGAAACAAUCAAAAUUGUUUGCGGUUUAACUAUUAUUGUUUCUUGCAGGAGGGGUGAUUGUGUAUGAAAUCAUGAUGCAGAACAGAACUCCAGGCUGUGGCAAAAUUCAGAAUAAGGCCUAACUAUGGGGCUGAUUCUUUGUGCAAUUGUAAUGCAGAACAGAACUGCAGGCCGUGGCAGAAUGCAGCAGAAGUCCUAACUGGGGCUGAUUCUUUGUGCAAUUGUAAUGCAGAACAGAACUGCAGGCCGUGGCAGAAUGCAGCAGAAGUCCUAACUGUAAGUAUAUUUGAAACUAGGUUCCCAAGAGCUGCAAGGCAAACAAGCUUUAGUCCAAUUGAAUGGUAUCUGUUAUAUAUGCCACAAAUGAUUUAUUAAAUCCUAUAAUAGCUCUGGGGGUCAAAGCUGUGUAGCCACAAUUUAAUUCUUUACUGAGAACCUUUGCACAAUGACUAGCUUUGUUUCUGGUGUCAAUGAUGACUGAACUUUUUUCCCCAACAGAUCGACAAUGUUGACUGCUCGGUACUUUAGCCAAACUUUGUCUGAUGCACCAGAAACGCUCAAGCUUGUGUGUUUUUGUGUGUUUGUGUAGUUUUAACUAAUAGUAUUGCUUCUUGCAGGGGGCUGAUUCUUUGUGCAAUUGUAAUGCAGAACAGAACUGCAGGCCGUGGCAGAAUGCAGCAGAAGUCCUAACUGGGGCUGAUUCUUUGUGCAAUUGUAAUGCAGAACAGAACUGCAGGCCGUGGCAGAAUGCAGCAGAAGUCCUAACUGGUGCUUAUUGCUGGUGUAAUCUGAGAUCCAAUGGUAAAGGCAGAUUAGACCAUGGCUGACUUUGUUCAAAAGUUGGAUAAAGUAUUCAUGACGGGAAUGCUGGGGCAGAUAUGAAAACUGAAGUGCAGACAGUCUUCAAAAAAUGUGUCAAGCUGCCUGCCUUAUGCUUUAUCGAUGGAUCUUUAAGUUGUAAUCCCAACCUGGCUGUUGUCAUUGUUUUGGGUUGGAUGUUGCUACCAAUAUUAUACAAUAAAAGAAGUUUACCUUG